GGUAGCAGGAUGGUGGUUCCGCCAGGGGAAUGAGAAGGUAGCAGGAUGGUGGUUCCGUCAGGGGAAUGAGAAGGUAGCGGGAUGGUGGUUCCGUCAGGGGAAUGAGAAGGUAGCAGGAUGGUGGUUCCGUCAGGGGAAUGAGAAGGUAGCGGGAUGGUGGUUCCGUCAGGG
Long non-coding RNA from Oncorhynchus keta (chum salmon), 171 nucleotides. RefSeq lists it as uncharacterized. The transcript is spliced from 3 exons. The record is from RefSeq and is a predicted model, not a curated record. NCBI's taxonomy places the organism in Eukaryota, Metazoa, Chordata, Actinopteri, Salmoniformes, Salmonidae.